This is a non-coding RNA of Cordylochernes scorpioides, 73 nucleotides long. The record is from the annotation of a GenBank genome assembly. NCBI's taxonomy places the organism in Eukaryota, Metazoa, Arthropoda, Arachnida, Pseudoscorpiones, Chernetidae.
UGCCGAAACCCGGGAUCGAACCAGGGACCUAUGGAUCUUCAGUCUAACGCUCUCCCAACUGAGCUAUUUCGGU